Molecule: long non-coding RNA, 2259 nt
Filed under: Mytilus galloprovincialis (Mediterranean mussel)
Lineage: Eukaryota; Metazoa; Mollusca; Bivalvia; Mytilida; Mytilidae
Source: RNAcentral
AAUACACCAGUUUCACAUUUAACUGCGCAUGUCUAAUCUAAUUAGCAAAACUAUGAAAUCACGCGAUAAUUCUUGAGAGUUUAUCAACUGGGGGCUAACGGUUGUAAGCAGUGACCAUUAAGACUUGGAAAAACAAGCAUCUGAUUGAGUUUUUGCGUUUACAUUAAUUUCUAACAACAUGAGCAUCAUUUGAAUCAAAAUGUAAAAUUUAUAUUGACCAGACAACUUUAAUUAUUAACAAUUGACACAUUAAAAGAUUUUAAAACGGACUACUGCUGUGUUGUUUAUUGCAGUAAUAUACGAUCUGAAAUGCCGCCUGACUUUAUAUUAAUUGUACCUUUAAAUGUCACGAAUUCACGCCGAGAUCGUUCACCAAACGGGAAGAAUAAAUUAAAUAAAUAAGCGGGGCUCACUUCAUAUACAUAGUAUUAGGUCAUAAAUUAAGAAGGCAAUUAAGAUAAAUUAACACCUUGGCCAUGUGGAAUCCUCGUUUCACCUUGUAUAAUCUCACCAGGUGAAAACUGAUAAAAACGUACCCUUUUCUGCAUAUACAGUUACUGAAAAAGGGUGACCAUUUGAUAAUUUAUUCAACUUUUGUACACAAUUAUUUCCUGUAUUUUGUGUUGCAGAUCAUUCUUUUCCAUCCUGCCUAGGUCAUAAUUAUUUAUUAGGAAAUUAGUCUAAGAAUAUUAUUUUUCUACACCCCCACUGACCCCUCCUGAAAAUCAAUUGGUCAUCCCUUAAUACAAAUGUUUGAAAUGUUAACCCUGGUACCUUAUUAACACUGAGAUAUCAUGGCCAGUGUGGUUAAUGCCACUGGGAAUAUUUUAAUAAUUUAGGAGGGGGUCAUGCAGCAUUUGAUCUUAAUUUAAGGCAUAUAUCGCUCGUUGUAAAUACAGGAUAUUCAAUUACUUUUAAUGGCACGAAAAAUGAUAAAGUUGACAAUAUGUAGAAAAUUACUCGCCUCGCUGGCACUGAACCUCUGCUAAGACGAAAUCGAUCAUGAACAUAGCUUAGAAAUUAAAAUGAUAUUGAAUGCAUUGUAUUAUAGUCUGAUCUUUGAAAAUUGAAGAUGAACCUGUAUUUCUGAUACGUAUUUUAAAACUGCCUUAUAUCUCGCUUCAUUUAUAUCAUGGCCGUCUAAAACAUCAUUGACACAGAAAUAUUUGAAACAAAUGUACAUACAAAUAAGCAGAUGUGGUAUGAGUGCCAAUGAUUGCCAAUGAAUGCCUCUGAUCGCCUCUGUUUAAUCCAUACAAAAUGCUUCAUAUUUUCACAGCGUAUAGCUUGAAAACAAACUCGGUGACCUAUCAUUGUGUUUUUCAUAUUGUUAGCACAUCACAAUAAUUAUGUACUACAUCUUUGACAAUCUUGAGUAUGUAAGGAAAAAUUCUAUCAAUUUUCGUUAAACAUUAUAUAUAGUAGUGCCGGUAUCUUGUCCUUGUAUCCAUAAAAUUUCACGCAAAAGUCACCAUAACAGUAACCUGUAUAUUUUUUAAAGAAAAUUAAAAGUUCGAGUCUAUGAUACUAAACCUAUAUGUAGGUCGUAACCCUUUACAGUCCUCUACAUGCAUGUGAAGAAAUGUAAAAAUUUAAGAAAAACUGGAACAGAACUGAAAUUAAAUGAAUUUCUGAUGUUUAGGCUGUUUUCUCUUUAUCAAAAUAUUUUUCUCUUUUCACGAAAAAUCAAACUCACAUACAGCAAUGUACAUAGCGCAGUAAUUAUAAGCAAAAGAAAGCAAUUACAAGAUUAUACUGUGUUAAAACCAUUUUACUCAUAAACACAACUGUUAUGAACUCUUUACAGCAACAAGAUGACUUAUUUUCUCGUUUGAAUUGUUUUGUGUCGAGACCAUUUAGAGAGUACUAUUCGGUAUAGAUUUUCUCAUUGUCGAGGGCUGUAUGGUGACAUAUGGUUGCUUUCAUCUGUCAUUUGCUUCUGGUGGAUAGUUGUCUCGUUUGCAAUCAUACCACAUCUUUAUAUUUUGAAUUUAUGUUAUUCUCUGUAUACAUGGUAUAGACGGUAAAACUAUUUAUUCUAAAUAUAUAAAAUAAACGAUUAUUAAUAUCUUCAAAAUAAAUAAUCUCCAGCAUACAUCACGAGAGACAGAGAUGUUGUUUAACAAUCGGUUGAUUUAUUAUUGUGUUGCUAAAUUCAGUAGCCCCCUGUCACGUAUGAUAUCGUUAAUUGUCGCGAGAUUUAAACUCAAACGCGCAUAAGAUUUCGAGAUCGGCGUUGAUUAGUAGCUUAUGUGAAAC